Molecule: long non-coding RNA, 580 nt
Filed under: Nicotiana benthamiana
Lineage: Eukaryota; Viridiplantae; Streptophyta; Magnoliopsida; Solanales; Solanaceae
Description: long non-coding RNA (NBEN_LNC012333)
Source: RNAcentral
AUCCCCCAAGUGUUUUUGGAAGUAUAACUCUGGCCCAUUGACAAGGUGAAAAUUAUGAGUAUUAUUAUUGCCCUCCCAUAGGAAUGAACAUCUGAGUCUAUCAAGCUGCUUUUGAACUUUGUUUGAAAUUGGAAAGAGGGACAUAAAAAUAGGUUGGAAUACUGUUGAGAACACUCCUUAUAAGAGUUGGUCUACCCCCUAAGAGAGAUACUGCUCCUGCCACAAUGUAAAUCUUUCCUCAAAAUUUUCAAAGGCCACAUUCCAUAAUUCAGCUGAUCUGUGUCUAGCUCCCAAGGGAAGGCCUAGGUAUGUGGUAGGAAAUGAGCUAGUAAUGUAGCACAUAAUAUCAGCCAAAACCUCCAACUUAUGGACCCACAUUAAUGGGAUAUAUGAUACUUUUGACAUGUUAAUAUGCAACCCAGACAAGACUUCAAAUAUCCUUCGAGUAAUGUUGAGGUAUUGAACUUAGGACUUCUCCCACUGCGUGAAACUGCAUAGAAAUAAUUCAUCGACAAACAGUAAGUGAGACAUAGAAACUGAUGGACCAGAAAUUCACCUACAUCAAAACUCUCCCACUGCG